Oryza meridionalis is the source of this 198-nucleotide non-coding RNA. NCBI's taxonomy places the organism in Eukaryota, Viridiplantae, Streptophyta, Magnoliopsida, Poales, Poaceae. The record is from Rfam.
AAUAAGUGCAGUUUUGGCACUGUUCAUGUCUAACGUUUGACCGUUCGUCUUAUUUGAAAAAAAAUUGUGAUUAGUAUUUUUAUUGUUAUUACAUGAUAAAAUAUGAGUAGUACUUUAUGUGUGACUAAUUUUCAUAAAUUUUUCAAAUAAGACGGACGGUCAAAACGCUAAACACGGAUAUCUAUGGCUGCAUUUAUU